GACGAACGCUGGCGGCGUGCUUAACACAUGCAAGUCGAACGGAAAGGCCCUGCUUUUGUGGGGUGCUCGAGUGGCGAACGGGUGAGUAACACGUGAGUAACCUGCCCUUGACUUUGGGAUAACUUCAGGAAACUGGGGCUAAUACCGGAUAGGAGCUCCUGCUGCAUGGUGGGGGUUGGAAAGUUUCGGCGGUUGGGGAUGGACUCGCGGCUUAUCAGCUUGUUGGUGGGGUAGUGGCUUACCAAGGCUUUGACGGGUAGCCGGCCUGAGAGGGUGACCGGCCACAUUGGGACGGAGAUACGGCCCGGCCUCCUACGGGAGGCGGCGGUGGGGAAUAUUGCACAAGGGGCGGAGGCCUGAUGCAGCAACGCCGCGUGGGGGGUGACGGCAUUCGGGUUGUAAACCGCUUUCGCCUGUGACGAAGCGUGAGUGACGGUAAUGGGUAAAGAAGCACCGGCUAACUACGUG
RNAcentral lists this ribosomal RNA (468 nucleotides) under uncultured bacterium. RNAcentral's name for it is "partial 16S ribosomal RNA". It matches the Rfam family "Bacterial small subunit ribosomal RNA", at positions 28 to 507 of the family's 1533-position model. The record is from RNAcentral.